GUGUUUCAGAACAGGUUCAACGGUGCAGUAGACUUUCAUCGCAAUUUCUCGGAAUAUGAAAACGGCUUUGGUGCGUUAAACGGUGAAUUUUGGUUAGGUCUCAAGAUUGUGCAGGAAAUGACAUCAGAAGGUAAAACUGAGCUCAGGCUUGAUGCCGUGGCUGCCGACAAGACUUUUAUCGAAAUCUACCAGAACUUUUAUCUCGAUAAAGGCCCAAGCUAUACCCUUCACCUUGGUACACCAGGAACAGCAGAUCAAAAGUUUCUGUAUAACAAUGGCAUGCAUUUUUCGACGUAUGACGUUGACAAAGAUGGAGAACCUACUAGGGAUUGUGCAUCUGAAUAUCAUGGUGGUUGGUGGUACUACGGUUGCACUUUUAUAUAUAUAAAUGGACGAUAUGGAGACGAGAGCGAUAAAGGAAUGUGGUACGAAGUAAACGACAGAAAAAGAAUGUACCAUCUUAAAACCUCUAAAAUGAUGUUUCGAUAAUCACGUUCUAACCAAUACACGAGUGACAUUUCAUUUAGAAUAGAGUGGUUAUUUCAACCUUUAGCAGUGAUUUUAUCUAUUGGUCUGUGCAUAAAUAUAUAUAUGCCUAGUUUCUAUCCUAACAAAAACACGUGAUCACUUUAAUUUGUAUAGGAAAUAUGCCAAGAAUAGUGUUAAUGAUUUCAUAACUACAUAAUUAUUGUCAGAUUUAGAUUAUUUUCUUUUUAAUUUAAUGUUCCUUGUGAUAAAACAUAUGUCAGAUCUGCUUUCACGGAUUAUCAAUUAUUAAUGUCAGUUAAUGGAAAAGCUGUUCAAAGGUGAUAUUAAUGGUUUCAUAAAGUUAACUAAGAGCCAUGUUUUGAAAAUGCUCUAGUUUGCACCAAAAUCAAUAUUAAAAUGGGACCAAUUCUUGCAAAUGAGUCUAUGUUAGAGCAUAUUUUUAUAACCACGCGCGUUUUAUUAAAUGGUGUUUUUGUUUUAGACAUAUAUUUUGCAACUGUUAUUCUAGUAACGACUGGAAGUAACUUAGAUUAUAGUGACGCCACUGGUCAUUUCAAAAUAUACAGAUGUGCAUAUAUCUCUCGGACUCAUUAUCCAAGUUUCACGACCUUGCUUUCAAUCAAAUACGUUUUGAUUAUAAUUUGAAAGCAUUCUUUGCUUGAAAAAACUCACAAACUCACUUUUUUUCAGAAAACAAAACGAAAAGUUUUAUUUUGUAACAUAUUUUUAUAUAAUUACAUGUAAGAUUGUUUUAAGUACGCACAGAGACAUCCAUUUAUACAGUAAUGUAUAUUGUCUACGCAAUAUAAAGUACAAAACCCCCAUCAUACUUUAAUAUCACAAAAAAAAUAUCAUGAUAAAAACCUCAGUAGAAUAAUUGAAAACCCUUGAAGCAUUGUCACUUUGAGUUAAGAUGGUUUAAUACACAAUGUGAUGUGUAGUAGACGGGGAAGGAGGCAAUAAACCUUUAAAAAGUUUAACAAGUACAUUAUCUGCUGAUUAAUAAUAUUAUUUGUUUAGUAUUGUUUAUUUCGUUGUCUCCUGUUUUCAUUUGCUCACCUGUCACAAAAUGACAUGUGAGCUUUUGUGAUCGCGCGGCGUCCGUCCGUGCUUGCGUAAACUUUUGCUUGUGACCACUCUAGAGGUCACAUUUUUCAUGGGAUUUUUAUGAAUGUUGGUCAGAAUGUUCAUCUUGAUGAUAACUAGGUCAAGUUUGGAACUGGGUCAUAUGCGGUUCAAAACUAGGUCAGUAGGUCUAAAAAUAGAAAAACCUUGUGACCUCUCUAGAGACCAUACUUUUCAAUGCAUCUUCAUGAAAAUUAGUUAAAUGUUCACCGUGAUAAUAUCUAAGUCAAGUUUGAAACUGGGUUACAUGCCGUCAAAAACUAGGUCAGUAGGUCAAAUAAUAUAAAAACGUUGUGACCUCUCUAGAGGCCACAUUUUUCAUGGGAUCUGUAUGAAAGUUGGUCUGAAUGUUCAUCUUGAUGAUAUCUAGGUCAAGUUCGAAACUGGGUAAACUGCGGUCAAAAACUAGGUCAGUGAUCUUAAAAAAGGAAAACCUUGUGACCUUUCUAGAGGCCAUAUUUUUCAUGGGAUCUGUAUGAAAGUUGGUCUGAAUGUUCAUCUUGAUGAUAUCUAGCUAAAAUUUGAAACGGGAUCACGCGCGGUCAAAACCUAGGUCAGAAGGUCUAAAAUUUAAAAAACUUUUGACCUCUCUAUAGGCCAUAUUUUUCAAUGGAUCUUCAAGAAAAUUGGUCAGAAUUUUUAUCUUGAUAAUAUCUAUGUCAAGUUAGAAACUGGGUUACGUGUGGUCAAAAACUAGGUCAGUAUGUAUAAAGAUAGGAAAACCUUGUGACCUCUUUAGAGGCCAUACUUUUCAAUGGAUCUUUAUGAGAAUUGGUCAGAAUGUUCACCGUAAUAAUAUCUAGGUUAAGUUUGAAACUUGGUUACGUGCCUUCAAAAACUAGUUCAGUAGGUCAAAUAAUAGAAAAACCUUGUGACCCCUCUAGAGGCCAUAUCUUUUUUCAAUGGAACUUCAUGAAAAUUGGUCAGAAUUUUAAUCUUGAUGAUAUCUAGGUCAAGUUCAAAACUGGGUCACACGAGCUCAAAAACUAGGUCAUUAUGUCAAAUAAUAGAAAAAACGACGUCAUAUUCAGUUCAAAACUGGGUCAUGUUGGGACAGGUGAGCGAUUCAGGACCAUCAUGGUCCUCUUGUAUAUAUAUAUGUGUGUGUGUGUGUGUGUGUGCGUGUGCGUGUGUGUUAAUAUAAAUGUAAAAAUGUGCUCGUGUGUUCGUACGAGAGUACGAGCGUGUAUGUGUGUAGUCGCCACUGCUAUCCCAUAUGUACGACUCUUCUAGUAACGGGCUAGCAAAGUCUCCCUAUAACUUUUAAAGGAAGUACAAAAUACAAACGCCAUUUUCCACAAGCUUCCCUACUUUUAAGCGUACCACGUACAUAAUAGAUUUUCGAGAUUUUUCAAGAUUUUAUUUUAUAAACACCAGUAGGUCAUCGACCCAUGUGGCAAACACAUACAUAUACAUAUAUGGCGACAAUAAUGGGUAGUUGAUAUAUAUAACAAGCCAGCUGGACAGCAUCCUGACACUGAGGUAUUUUACAGCUCAUACUUCACCACUGGGACACUGGAAUCUCAUAGAUUAACAAUGGAGGACCUAGGCCUAUGCAAUGGAUCUUCUUCAGUCAAAGCAGUUAUAUAUAGAAUCUACAUCAGUAUAAAGCAUUAUAAUAUUUAAAUAUAAGUAGAAUUACGUAGACGAAUGCAUCUCUUUGGUUCUUCCAUAACAUGCUAAUUCAGACUAGGCAUACUGCAAGGUUCGGUUUUACAUGGUCUUGUAUUUACUUCAUAAUAUUGUUGUUGUUGUUAUUGUUCUGUAAGGCUAAAAGUGCCUAUCCUAUGAAUUUGACUUUCUGCUCUUUAAAAUAAAGUUAAGACUGUCUAAUAAGUGUUUCUUUUACCUUGCUAAAGAGCUA
This is a long non-coding RNA of Mercenaria mercenaria, 3478 nucleotides long. RefSeq lists it as uncharacterized. Lineage: Eukaryota; Metazoa; Mollusca; Bivalvia; Venerida; Veneridae. The record is from RefSeq and is a predicted model, not a curated record. The transcript is spliced from 3 exons.